CUCCAGUGCCCGGCGCGGGGGAGUCCAGUCCCAGCCCGGCUACCUGAGAGCGGCGCGGGGCUCGGGCCGCCCAGUGCGCAGGUGCGGGCCCAAGAGCCAGGCUCCAGUCUGAGUCUAGAAAUCUGCACAGCAAUGAAACAGCCCUGCAUCCCUAGCCUGAAUCGGCUCAGCACGGACCAACUCCAGCCAAGAGCAGCAGAAGUGACCAUGGAAGAGGCAGCAGGAGGGAGAACUCAGAGCCCGCUUGCCAGGAGUCAGUACCAGGAGGAAAUGGGAGAUCUUGGAGGCAGAUGCCAUCCUAGCUAAGAAGUUCUACGCACACCAUGCCCAUGAGCUCUGCAGCUUAUGAGGAAUCUUGGUCUACAUCUGUUAAGGCUGAUUUCCCACUCUGGCACUUUGAGUGCAGAAUAUGGGCACCUGCAAGGAAUCUAAAAAUUAAUACUGGCU
Gopherus evgoodei (Goodes thornscrub tortoise) is the source of this 447-nucleotide long non-coding RNA. RefSeq lists it as uncharacterized. The record is from RefSeq and is a predicted model, not a curated record. Lineage: Eukaryota; Metazoa; Chordata; Testudines; Testudinidae. The transcript has 3 exons.